Mastomys coucha (southern multimammate mouse) is the source of this 131-nucleotide small nucleolar RNA. RefSeq annotates it as small nucleolar RNA SNORA17. The transcript has a single exon. The record is from RefSeq and is a predicted model, not a curated record. Lineage: Eukaryota; Metazoa; Chordata; Mammalia; Rodentia; Muridae.
UAUGCUCCUAGAAGUGUUGCAGGUGUGGCCACUCUGUCACGUGUGUAUUAGUAGAUGGCAGAGAGGAGAAAGGAUACGUUUAUGCCAGUGUUCUGACCUGUGAACAUCUGAUUGAUUAGUAGCCUAAGAUU